AAGCUCGUAGUUGAAUUUCGGGGUUAGUAGGUUGGUCAUGCCUCUGGUAUGUACUGGUCUCACUGAUUCCUCCUUCCUUAUGAACCGUAAUGCCAUUAAUUUGGUGUUGCGGGGAAUUUGGACUGUUACUUUGAAAAAAUUAGAGUGUUUAAAGCAAGCUAACGCUUGAAUACAUUAGCAUGGAAUAAUGAAAUAGGACGUUCGAUCUUAUUUUGUUUGGUUUCUUGGAUUGACGUAAUGAUUAAUAGGGAUAGUUGGG
RNAcentral lists this ribosomal RNA (259 nucleotides) under uncultured Glomus. Its description in RNAcentral is "partial 18S ribosomal RNA". It matches the Rfam family "Eukaryotic small subunit ribosomal RNA", at positions 624 to 886 of the family's 1831-position model. Lineage: Eukaryota; Fungi; Glomeromycota; Glomeromycetes; Glomerales; Glomeraceae. The record is from RNAcentral.